GACGAACGCUGGCGGCGUGCUUAACACAUGCAAGUCGAACGAUGAAGAAAAGAAUCGAAGCUUCGGCAGAAAUUCAUUUCGGAUUAGUGGCAGACGGGUGAGUAACUCGUGAGCAACCUACCUCUUACAAAGGGAUAGCCUCGGGAAACCGGGAUUAAUACCAUCUAACAUUGCGACGAAGCAUUUCGAUGCAAUCAAAGCUACGGCGGUAAGAGAUGGGCUCGCGUCCCAUUAACCGGAUGGUGAGGUAACGGCUCACCAUAGUGACGAUGGGUAACCGGCCUGAGAGGGUGAACGGUCACACUGGAACUGAGACACGGUCCAGACUCCUACGGGAGGCAGCAGUGGGGAAUAUUGCACAAUGGAGGGAACUCUGAUGCAGCGACGCCGCGUGAGUGAUGAAGGAAUUCGUUUCGUAAAACUCUGUUCUAUGGGAAGAAAAGGACUGUACCAUAGGAGAAAGCUCCGGCUAAAUACGUG
This 480-nucleotide ribosomal RNA is filed under the name uncultured bacterium. RNAcentral describes it as "partial 16S ribosomal RNA". It matches the Rfam family "Bacterial small subunit ribosomal RNA", at positions 28 to 507 of the family's 1533-position model. The record is from RNAcentral.